RNAcentral lists this ribosomal RNA (921 nucleotides) under uncultured archaeon. Its description in RNAcentral is "bacterial SSU rRNA". It matches the Rfam family "Archaeal small subunit ribosomal RNA", at positions 1 to 928 of the family's 1478-position model. The record is from RNAcentral.
UUCCGGUUGAUCCUGCCGGAGAUCACUGCUAUUGGGAUUCGACUAAGCCAUGCGAGUCGAGAGGGUUCGGCCCUCGGCUGACGGCUCAGUAACACGUGGAUAAUCUGCCUUUAGGUGGAGGAUAAUCUCGGGAAACUGAGGAUAAUACUCCAUAGAUCUAGGAUGCUGGAAUGCAUCUAGAUUGAAAGCUCCGGCGCCUAAGGAUGAGUCUGCGGACUAUCAGGUUGUAGUCAGGGUAAAGACCUGACUAGCCUACGACGGAUACGGGUUGUGAGAGCAAUAACCCGGAGACGAUAUCUGAGACACGAUAUCGGGCCCUACGGGGCGCAGCAGGCGCGAAAACUUCACACUGUGCGAAAGCACGAUGAGGGAAUCCCAAGUGUUUGCUCGUAAGAGUAAACUGUUUCUUUGUUUAAAACGCAGAGAGAGUAAGGGCUGGGUAAGACGGGUGCCAGCCGCCGCGGUAAUACCUGCAGCUCAAGUGGUGAUCAUUAUUAUUGGGCCUAAAACGUCCGUAGCCUGUUUAGUAAAUGCCUGGGUAAAUCGUGUAGCUUAACUAUACGACUUCCGGGUAGACUACUAAACUUGAGACCGGGAGAGGCUAGAGGUACUCCUGGGGUAGAGGUGAAAUUCUGUAAUCCUAGGGGGACCACCAGUGGCGAAGGCGUCUAGCUAGAACGGGUCUGACGGUGAGGGACGAAGCCCUGGGGCACAAACCGGAUUAGAUACCCGGGUAGUCCAGGGUGUAAACGCUGCUUGCUUGAUGUUAGUUGGGCUCCGAGCCCAAUUAGUGUCGGAGAGAAGUUGUUAAGCAAGCUGCCUGGGAAGUACGGUCGCAAGGCUGAAACUUAAAGGAAUUGGCGGGGGAGCACAGCAACGGGUGGAGCGUGCGGUUUAAUUGGAGUCAACGCCGGAAAUCUC